GACGAACGCUGGCGGCGUGCUUAACACAUGCAAGUCGAACGGAAAGGCCCUGCUUUUGUGGGGUGCUCGAGUGGCGAACGGGUGAGUAACACGUGAGUAACCUGCCCUUGACUUUGGGAUAACUUCAGGAAACUGGGGCUAAUACCGGAUAGGAGCUCCUGCUGCAUGGUGGGGGUUGGAAAGUUUCGGCGGUUGGGGAUGGACUCACGGCUUAUCAGCUUGUUGGUGGGGUAGUGGCUUACCAAGGCUUUGACGGGUAGCCGGCCUGAGAGGGUGACCGGCCACAUUGGGACUGAGAUACGGCCCAGACUCCUACGGGAGGCAGCAGUGGGGAAUAUUGCACAAUGGGCGGAAGCCUGAUGUAGCAACGCCGCGUGCGGGAUGACGGCCUUCGGGUUGUAAACCGCUUUCGCCUGUGACGAAGCGUGAGUGACGGUAAUGGGUAAAGAAGCACCGGCUAACUACGUG
Molecule: ribosomal RNA, 468 nt
Filed under: uncultured bacterium
Lineage: Bacteria
Description: partial 16S ribosomal RNA
Rfam family: Bacterial small subunit ribosomal RNA
Source: RNAcentral